RNAcentral lists this ribosomal RNA (467 nucleotides) under uncultured Oscillospiraceae bacterium. RNAcentral describes it as "bacterial SSU rRNA". It matches the Rfam family "Bacterial small subunit ribosomal RNA", at positions 915 to 1382 of the family's 1533-position model. The record is from RNAcentral. Lineage: Bacteria; Bacillati; Bacillota; Clostridia; Eubacteriales; Oscillospiraceae.
AGGGGCCCGCACAAGCAGUGGAGUAUGUGGUUUAAUUCGAAGCAACGCGAAGAACCUUUACCAGGGCUUGACAUCCCUUGAAGCAGCUAGAGAUAGCUGUGUCCUUCGGGACAAGGAGACAGGUGGUGCAUGGUUGUCGUCAGCUCGUGUCGUGAGAUGUUGGGUUAAGUCCCGCAACGAGCGCAACCCCUGUGGUUAGUUGCCAGCAAGUAGCGUUGGGCACUCUAGCCAGACUGCCGGUGAUAAAUCGGAGGAAGGUGGGGACGACGUCAAAUCAUCAUGCCCUUUAUGUCCUGGGCUACACACGUACUACAAUGGCCGUUACAACGGGAAGCGAAGGAGCAAUCCGGAGCAAAUCCCUUAAAGGCGGUCCCAGUUCAGAUUGUGGGCUGAAACUCGCCCACAUGAAGGCGGAAUUGCUAGUAAUUGCAGAUCAGCAUGCUGCCAGUCGAAUACGUUCCGGCCUU